RNAcentral lists this ribosomal RNA (475 nucleotides) under uncultured bacterium. Its description in RNAcentral is "SSU rRNA". It matches the Rfam family "Bacterial small subunit ribosomal RNA", at positions 26 to 518 of the family's 1533-position model. The record is from RNAcentral.
AGAAUCAACGCUGGCGGCGUGCCUAACACAUGCAAGUCGAACGAGAAAGUGGAGCAAUCCAUGAGUAAAGUGGCGACCGGGUGAGUAACACGUGACCAAUCUACCCUUGAGUGGGGGAUAACCUCGGGAAACCGGGGCUAAUACCGCAUAAUAUCCUUGGAACGGAAGUACUGGGGAUCAAAGGAGCAAUUCGCUUAAGGAGGAGGUCGCGGCUGAUUAGCUAGUUGGCGGGGUAAUGGCCCACCAAGGCUUAGAUCGGUAGCCGGCCUGAGAGGGCGCACGGCCACACUGGAACUGAAACACGGUCCAGACUCCUACGGGAGGCAGCAGUGGGGAAUUUUGCGCAAUGGGGGAAACCCUGACGCAGCAACGCCGCGUGGAGGAUGAAGUCCCUUGGGACGUAAACUCCUUUCGAUCCGGACGAUAAUGACGGUACGGGUGGAAGAAGCCCGGCUAACUUCGCGCCAGCAGCCGC